AGAUUGAACGCUGGCGGCAUGCUUUACACAUGCAAGUCGAACGGUAACAGGCCGCAAGGUGCUGACGAGUGGCGAACGGGUGAGUAAUGCAUCGGAACGUGCCCAGUCGUGGGGGAUAACGCAGCGAAAGCUGUGCUAAUACCGCAUACGCCCUACGGGGGAAAGGGGGGAUUCUUUCGAGAACCUCUCACUAUUGGAGCGGCCGAUAUCAGAUUAGCUAGUUGGUGAGGUAAAGGCUCACCAAGGCGACGAUCUGUAGCUGGUUUGAGAGGACGACCAGCCACACUGGGACUGAGACACGGCCCAGACUCCUACGGGAGCAGCAGUGGGAAUUUUGGACAAUGGGGGAAACCUGAUCCAGCCAUCCCGCGUGUGCGAUGAAGGCCUUCGGUGUAAGCGACUUUGCGAGGAAGAACGGACGCCGCCGUAAGUACGGGACGUCGCGUGACGGUACC
Molecule: ribosomal RNA, 455 nt
Filed under: uncultured soil bacterium
Lineage: Bacteria
Description: bacterial SSU rRNA
Rfam family: Bacterial small subunit ribosomal RNA
Source: RNAcentral